Molecule: ribosomal RNA, 429 nt
Filed under: Chloroflexota bacterium
Lineage: Bacteria; Bacillati; Chloroflexota
Description: Chloroflexi bacterium partial 16S ribosomal RNA
Rfam family: Bacterial small subunit ribosomal RNA
Source: RNAcentral
UGGGGAAUAUUGCACAAUGGGCGCAAGCCUGAUGCAGCCAUGCCGCGUGUAUGAAUAAGGCCUUCGGGUUGUAAAGUACUUUCAGUCGGGAGGAAGGUGGUAAGGUUAAUAACCUUAUCAAUUGACGUUACCGACAGAAGAAGCACCGGCUAACUCCGUGCCAGCAGCCGCGGUAAUACGGAGGGUGCAAGCGUUAAUCGGAAUUACUGGGCGUAAAGCGCACGCAGGCGGUUGAUUGAGUCAGAUGUGAAAUCCCCGGGCUUAACCCGGGAAUUGCAUCUGAGACUGGUCAGCUAGAGUCUUGUAGAGGGGGGUAGAAUUCCAUGUGUAGCGGUGAAAUGCGUAGAGAUGUGGAGGAAUACCGGUGGCGAAGGCGGCCCCCUGGACAAAGACUGACGCUCAGGUGCGAAAGCGUGGGGAGCAAACAGG